RNAcentral lists this small nuclear RNA (219 nucleotides) under Catagonus wagneri (Chacoan peccary). RNAcentral describes it as "U2 spliceosomal RNA (ENSCWAG00000015595.1)". It matches the Rfam family "U2 spliceosomal RNA". From Rfam's summary of the family: U2 is a small nuclear RNA (snRNA) component of the spliceosome (involved in pre-mRNA splicing). Lineage: Eukaryota; Metazoa; Chordata; Mammalia; Artiodactyla; Tayassuidae. The record is from Rfam by way of RNAcentral.
ACCACUUCUCAGCCUUUUGGCUAAGAUCAAGUGUAGUAUCUGUUCUUAACAGAAAGAAAGAAAAAGAAAUGCAAUAUAUAUAAAUAAAUACCCUAUAUACUUUGUGGGGUUUUUUUUGUUUUUUUGUUUUUUUUUUUUGCUUUUUGGGGUCACACCCGUGGCAUACAGAGUUUCAGGCUAGGGGUCGAAUUGGAGCUGUAGUCAGCAGCUUGCACCAUA